Molecule: ribosomal RNA, 537 nt
Filed under: uncultured Flavobacteriia bacterium
Lineage: Bacteria; Pseudomonadati; Bacteroidota; Flavobacteriia
Description: bacterial SSU rRNA
Rfam family: Bacterial small subunit ribosomal RNA
Source: RNAcentral
ACCAAAUGAAUAAGCACCGGCUAACUCCGUGCCAGCAGCCGCGGUAAUACGGAGGGUGCAAGCGUUAUCCGGAAUCAUUGGGUUUAAAGGGUCCGCAGGCGGGCAUAUAAGUCAGUGGUGAAAGCCUACAGCUCAACUGUAGAACUGCCAUUGAUACUGUAAGUCUUGAAUUCGGUCGAAGUGGGCGGAAUGUGUAGUGUAGCGGUGAAAUGCAUAGAUAUUACACAGAACACCGAUAGCGAAGGCAGCUCACUAGGCCUGGAUUGACGCUUAGGGACGAAAGCGUGGGGAUCAAACAGGAUUAGAUACCCCUGGUAGUCCACGCUGUAAACGAUGAUUACUCGUUUUCGGCGAUAUACAGUCGGAGACUAAGCGAAAGUGAUAAGUAAUCCACCUGGGGAAUACGAUCGCAAGGUUGAAACUCAAAGGAAUUGACGGGGGCCCGCACAAGCGGUAGAGCAUGUGGUUUAAUUCGAUGAUACGCGAGGAACCUUACCAGGCUUAAAUGCAGAUUGCAUGAUGUGGAAACAUGUCAGU